UACGUAGGUGGCGAGCGUUGUCCGGAUUUACUGGGUGUAAAGGGCGUGUAGGCGGGUACGCAAGUUGGGUGUGAAAUACCGGGGCUUAACCCCGGGGCUGCAUCCAAAACUGCGAAUCUUGAGUGCCGGAGAGGAAAGCGGAAUUCCUAGUGUAGCGGUGAAAUGCGUAGAUAUUAGGAGGAACACCGGUGGCGAAGGCGGCUUUCUGGACGGUAACUGACGCUGAGGCGCGAAAGCGUGGGGAGCAAAC
This 250-nucleotide ribosomal RNA is filed under the name uncultured prokaryote. Its description in RNAcentral is "partial 16S ribosomal RNA". It matches the Rfam family "Bacterial small subunit ribosomal RNA", at positions 524 to 773 of the family's 1533-position model. The record is from RNAcentral.